Molecule: ribosomal RNA, 482 nt
Filed under: uncultured bacterium
Lineage: Bacteria
Description: partial 16S ribosomal RNA
Rfam family: Bacterial small subunit ribosomal RNA
Source: RNAcentral
AUUGAACGCUGGCGGCAUGCUUUACACAUGCAGGUCGAACGGUAACAGGCCGCAAGGUGCUGACGAGUGGCGAACGGGUGAGUAAUGCAUCGGAACGUGCCCAGUCGUGGGGGAUAACUACUCGAAAGAGUAGCUAAUACCGCAUACGAUCUAUGGAUGAAAGCGGGGGACCGUAAGGCCUCGCGCGAUUGGAGCGGCCGAUGUCAGAUUAGGUAGUUGGUGGGGUAAAGGCUCACCAAGCCAACGAUCUGUAGCUGGUCUGAGAGGACGACCAGCCACACUGGGACUGAGACACGGCCCAGACUCCUACGGGAGGCAGCAGUGGGGAAUUUUGGACAAUGGGCGCAAGCCUGAUCCAGCAAUGCCGCGUGCAGGAAGAAGGCCUUCGGGUUGUAAACUGCUUUUGUACGGAACGAAACGGCUCUGGUUAAUACCCGGGGCUAAUGACGGUACCGGAAGAAUAAGCACCGGCUAACUACGUG